RNAcentral lists this ribosomal RNA (233 nucleotides) under uncultured bacterium. Its description in RNAcentral is "partial 16S ribosomal RNA". It matches the Rfam family "Bacterial small subunit ribosomal RNA", at positions 103 to 334 of the family's 1533-position model. The record is from RNAcentral.
CGGGUGAGUAACACGUGGUCAACCUUCCCUACAGUGGGGGAUAACUAGCCGAAAGGUUAGCUAAUACCGCAUAACAUCUAUGAGUGGCAUCACCUGUAGAUCAAAGGAGCAAUCCGCUGAAGGACGGGACCGCGUCCCAUUAGUUAGUUGGUGGGGUAAUGGCCUACCAAGACUCCGAUGGGUAGCUGGUUUGAGAGAGCGACCAGCCACACUGGGACUGAGAAACGGCCCAG